UUUAAUGUAGUGUUAUGUAAUAUUUUAUUUGACAAUGUCACAGCUGAAUCAAAAUUGUAUAUUUUUGUCGUUUUAGUAGUUUAAUGUAGUUUAAUGCAAUGAUUGUUUGGAACUGUUUUAAUUGACCUAAAUUUCAUUGAUUUAGUAUACUAUGGAAUCAAAUAUGUAGCUGUUAACUGUAGUUUGUUGUAGUUGAAUGUAGUUUCAUGUGUAUCUUGUAGCUGUUAUACACAGUUAUUUGCAGUUUAAAUGUAGUUAUUUGUAGUUAAAUGUAGUGUUCAAUAACUGGCUAUUGAACAGGGGUUAAAUGUAGUCAUUUGUAGGCAUUUGUAUUUUGAUUUCUUCCUGUUUUCUUUCCUCUUCUAUGCUCUGUUAAAUGUUUAUGUUGAAC
RNAcentral lists this long non-coding RNA (391 nucleotides) under Nicotiana benthamiana. Its description in RNAcentral is "long non-coding RNA (NBEN_LNC032200)". Lineage: Eukaryota; Viridiplantae; Streptophyta; Magnoliopsida; Solanales; Solanaceae. The record is from RNAcentral.